GAUGAAGAACGCAGCGAAAUGCGAUAAGUAGUGUGAAUUGCAGAAUUCAGUGAAUCAUUGAAUCUUUGAACGCACAUUGCGCCCCUUGGUAUCCCGAGGGGCAUGCCUGUUCGAGCGUCAUUUCACCACUCAAGCCUGGCUUGGUGUUGGGCGACGUCCUCUUUGGGGACGCGCCUCGAAACGCUCGGCGGCGUGGCACCGGCUUUAAGCGUAGCAGAAUCUUUCGCUUUGGAAGUCGGGGCCCCGUCUGCCGGAAGACCUGCUCGCAAGGUUGACCUCGGAUCAGGCAGGGAUACCCGCUGAACUUAAGCAUAUCAAUAAGCGGAGGA
This 329-nucleotide unclassified non-coding RNA is filed under the name soil metagenome. RNAcentral's name for it is "partial contains 5.8S ribosomal RNA, internal transcribed spacer 2, and large subunit ribosomal RNA". The stretch from base 1 to 120 matches the Rfam family "5.8S ribosomal RNA", at positions 35 to 154 of the family's 154-position model. The record is from RNAcentral.